UGGUCCGCUGGUCGGCGUGGGGCGGGCCGCUCCUGGUGGCCCUGGUGGCCGGCGUGCUGCGGUUCUGGAACCUCGGCAGUCCGA
Molecule: transfer RNA, 84 nt
Filed under: Streptomyces clavifer
Lineage: Bacteria; Bacillati; Actinomycetota; Actinomycetes; Kitasatosporales; Streptomycetaceae
Description: tRNA-Arg
Source: RNAcentral